GAAAUUAUCGGUGUGGUUUCUCGUAAGGGAUUCCGCUAAAAAACACCGUUAAACCACUAUGUGAACUUGUAUUUGUUCUUGGUAGACGGGUCCGGGGACCCUUAAACCGCUGUGGGAAGGACGUGUGGGGUAAAUGAAACGCGUGAGCCUUGGUAAGCGCGUUUACCCCCGCGUUUAUCACGGGCUACCAAAUGUGUUGAACCUGAAUGGGAUAGUCUUGUUUGUUUUAGUCUUAUUUUUAACGUCUCCGUGAUUGGAGUGUUAAUACAAAUUGAAUA
Molecule: unclassified non-coding RNA, 278 nt
Filed under: soil metagenome
Description: partial internal transcribed spacer 1
Source: RNAcentral